GACGAACGCUGGCGGCGUGCUUAACACAUGCAAGUCGAACGGUGAAGCGCCUUCCUUUUUGGUGGGUGUGGAUGAGUGGCGAACGGGUGAGUAACACGUGAGUAACCUGCCCCCUUCUUCUGGAUAACCGCAUGAAAGUGUGGCUAAUACGGGAUAUUCUGGGUCUGUCGCAUGAUGGGUUUGGGAAAGAUAUUGUUUCGGUGGGGGAUGGGCUCGCGGCCUAUCAGCUUGUUGGUGGGGUGAUGGCCUACCAAGGCGGUGACGGGUAGCCGGCCUGAGAGGGUGGACGGUCACACUGGGACUGAGACACGGCCCAGACUCCUACGGGAGGCAGCAGUGGGGAAUAUUGCACAAUGGGCGCAAGCCUGAUGCAGCGACGCCGCGUGAGGGAUGGAGGCCUUCGGGUUGUGAACCUCUUUCGCCAGUGAAGCAGGCCUGCCUCGUUUGUGGGUGGGUUGACGGUAGCUGGAGAAGAAGCGCCGGCUAACUACGUG
Molecule: ribosomal RNA, 494 nt
Filed under: uncultured bacterium
Lineage: Bacteria
Description: partial 16S ribosomal RNA
Rfam family: Bacterial small subunit ribosomal RNA
Source: RNAcentral